UAGAUACCCUAUUAUUUUGGAUUUAAAGGUUUAAGCUUGAGUAGUAUUAGAUAUGAUCUUGAAACUUAAAGAAUUUGGCGGUAUUUUAGUCUAGUUAGAGGAAUCUGUCCCGUUAUCGAUAAUCCGCGUUGAACCUUACUUAAUAUAAUUUAAUAUGUAUACCGCCGUUUAUUUGAAGAUCUUUUUAGGGUUAAUUUUCUUUAAAUUUUAAUUAAUUUUAUUUCAGGUCAAGGUGCAGUUGAUAAUUAAGUGGUGAUGGAUUACAUUAUUAAUAAAAUAAACGAAUUGAAGAUUGAAAGUAUUUUAUGAAGGAGGAUUUAAUAGUAAUUAAUAAUAAGAAUUAUUUUUAUGAUUUUAGCUCUAAAAUGUGUACACAUCGUCCCGUCACUCUCGUUAUUAAGGUGAGAUAAGUC
RNAcentral lists this ribosomal RNA (413 nucleotides) under Parapanesthia pearsoni. Its description in RNAcentral is "partial 12S ribosomal RNA". The record is from RNAcentral. Lineage: Eukaryota; Metazoa; Arthropoda; Insecta; Blattodea; Blaberidae.